Molecule: ribosomal RNA, 618 nt
Filed under: uncultured bacterium
Lineage: Bacteria
Description: bacterial SSU rRNA
Rfam family: Bacterial small subunit ribosomal RNA
Source: RNAcentral
CCUACGGGAGGCAGCAGUGGGGAAUUUUGGACAAUGGGCGAAAGCCUGAUCCAGCAAUGCCGCGUGAGUGAAGAAGGCCUUCGGGUUGUAAAGCUCUUUUGUCAGGGAAGAAACGGUGAGGGCUAAUAUCCCUUGCUAAUGACGGUACCUGAAGAAUAAGCACCGGCUAACUACGUGCCAGCAGCCGCGGUAAUACGUAGGGUGCAAGCGUUAAUCGGAAUUACUGGGCGUAAAGCGUGCGCAGGCGGUUUUGUAAGUCUGUCGUGAAAUCCCCGGGCUCAACCUGGGAAUUGCGAUGGAGACUGCAAGGCUAGAAUCUGGCAGAGGGGGGUAGAAUUCCACGUGUAGCAGUGAAAUGCGUAGAGAUGUGGAGGAACACCGAUGGCGAAGGCAGCCCCCUGGGUCAAGAUUGACGCUCAUGCACGAAAGCGUGGGGAGCAAACAGGAUUAGAUACCCUGGUAGUCCACGCCCUAAACGAUGUCUACUAGUUGUCGGGUUUUAAUUAACUUGGUAACGCAGCUAACGCGUGAAGUAGACCGCCUGGGGAGUACGGUCGCAAGNUUAAAACUCAAAUGAAUUGACCGGNUGAGAGNGCGAGACGACGACGAGGGAGGAGG